This 137-nucleotide ribosomal RNA is filed under the name uncultured bacterium. RNAcentral's name for it is "partial 16S ribosomal RNA". It matches the Rfam family "Bacterial small subunit ribosomal RNA", at positions 355 to 509 of the family's 1533-position model. The record is from RNAcentral.
UUGGGAAUAUUGCACAAUGGGGGAAACCCUGAUGCAGCGACGCCGCGUGAGUGAAGAAGUAUUUCGGUAUGUAAAGCUCUAUCAGCAGGAAAGAAAAUGACGGUACCUGACUAAGAAGCCCCGGCUAACUACGUGCC